CAUCUUUGCCUAUAAAAAGAGAGCUUCGUCAUUGUAAAUUCAACUUGAUUUGAAGUAAGGAAAUGCUGCCAAUUUUCAGCUUUUACUCUCAAGUUCAUCCUUGUGCAUUGUUAUCUUGCACCUCCUCUAGCUCCUUUCCCCUUUGGAAAGCCUGAUGAGCUAGAACUCUACCAAACAGCCACUCCAAAACACCUCCAGCAUAUUCACAAACACCUUGAGUGCAUCCAGAAACUCCACUGAAUUCAUUCAAUCCGCUGCCAGUUCUCUGCUUCGUGAAGCUUCUUCUGCAUAUUCUGAAGAAACUUCCAUCAUUUGGCAUCAAGAGCCAGCCGUUCCAUUCACGCUCCAAGAGCUAAGCCAUUCUCAUCUUCAUUUUUUUUCCAUUUCCGUGUUGUGUUGUUCUUCUAUGUACUGUUUCAUCAAUUUUCAUUUCUGUUUUGUUCGAAUUUUUGCGUUUCUGUGGAUAUUUAAAUGCAUUCACGUGUUUCUUAGUAUUCUUCUAUCAUUUUCAUGGGUGCAAAUCAUUUGUUUCAGCUCAAUUCAGCUUUGAUAUUUCAUUUCCAGUUUUGUCAAGUCAUGGCUGUGAGUGCAAUUUCAUUCUGUCAUGCUGUCUUGAAUCUGUUCAGCUCUUUUGAUUCUUUCGUUUUUCUUUGAAUCCAGUGCACUUGCAAGCUAUAUGUUGAUCGUGUAAGCAAUGGCAUCAUGUCCAGCUUUGAUCAUUGGAGCUAAAAGCAAUGAACACAUUGUUUUCCAGUAGCAUAUUCUGCAGAAAACUGAUUAUUUCGGGUUUGAUUUGUAAAAUCUGUUUUCGUCCAGAUUUCUGGUGUUGUAAGCUUUGUGCAACUUUAUGUACUGUGUUUGAAUGUGUCUAAAGUAAUUGCAACUCAUAUUCAUCACAUAAUUGCAAAUUGAAUGGUUAAGUUCAUCCAAAUCUGAUUUCAAAUUCUGCAUAAAAGUCACUUUUGGCUUGAUCAUGUGCACAUUGUGUUGGUCCAGAUUUCUGAAUCCUACUGCUUGAGACAAGUUUAUUUGAUGCAUUUUUACAUGUUUCAAGAGUUACCAAUCAGAAUUCAACACUGAAUCUUAAAAAGACUGGUUGAGUUCUUCAUAAUUAGUCUUCAAAAUCUGCAUCAAAAGUUGCUUACUGGUCAUAUUAUGCAAUCUGUUUCUGUCAAGAUUUCUUAAGUUUGAAGUUGAACACAAGUUUGUUUCAAGUUUCCAAACAUGUUUCAAGUAGUCUCAACUCAGAUUUACCACUGAUUUCAGAAAAGCAUACUUGAGUGCUUCAAAAAUCUCUAAAACUGUGCUGUCAUAUGCUGUUUUCAAAAGCUUUUGCACCAUGUUGCUAUCAUUAUUUGUAUUAGGACAUUUGCUAUUUCCCUAGCUCAAUUUCUGAAGCUAGAUCUAGACUUAGGACCUUUCCUACAUGUUUCUUGAUCUAGCCAUCUUUGCUUCUGCUGUUUUUAGUCAUUUCAAGUGAUGUUUUAUGCACUUUUUCUGCAUAAUUUGGCAACUACCACACUGUUUUUGAGAUGGCGUGCCUGCCUGUGCAUUUUCAAUGGUUCAACAAGUGUAUUUGGUCAAUUUAAACUUGUCCACACUGUUCAUUUGGUCAUUUUUCAGUUUAUGUGCAAAAUCACUAUAAAACCAUUAAAUUUGCUUGAAUUUGGGAAGUGAACCAAUGAUAUUUUGUUGUGGUUACUUUCUUUGCUGCCUAAGUGAUUGCACACAUUCAAUUUCAUAAUAUAAACUUGUUGGAACUAUCAUUUGAGCAUUAACCACACUAGCAUUCAAGUUGACUACUGUUGUUUCCAUUUUUUUUCCAGCUUUUGUUUCUGGUGCAGUCACAAGUCCUUUGCUGUUUGACAUUGUACAUUUGUUUGAUUUACAUUUCUGGAUUGGCAAGAGCUGGGAUUUUGUUUCCAUAUAUACUUUUCACUGCUUAUACCAAUGAAAACAAAUAAUAUAAAAAGCAAAUUACUCCUUACAAUCUAGUUUUGAAAGUCAAAAACCAGAAAACACAAAAAUAUGUUAUUCUUUGUGGCAUUUCAUCAAACAGUUUUGUAUUUCAUCAAACAGUUUCAUUCCACACAAUUCAAUCACUGUUUUUGGGUUUUUUUCUUGCUUUUCUAAUCUGUUCUAGACCCUAUCUUAAGUUCCUUUUGUGUGCUAGCCUUUAUUCCAGCCCCAAAGUGUUUAGAAAUCACUUUUCUUGACUUCCAUAUUUUGUUGUCAUAACUCGGGUGGAGACAGUGACAAACCAACUUGACACGAAUGGAGAACUAUUGCUAGCAAGCCAGGUUGUGGUGAAGAUUCUCAGGUCAUUAAUCGGUGACUUUGAGAGCAUAGUUUGCGCCAUCAAAGAAUCCAAGGACUUGUCAACACUCUCAGUGGAAUAAGUUGUCCGAUCCUUAGAGGCACACAAGCAGUGAAGAAGGAAGAAUUGGCCGGAGCUCGAAACACUCAAGGCCAAAGUUUUGGUGGAAGAGGCUGAGGUAGCUUGAGGUCGAGGAGGACGUUGUUGAGGACAAGGUUAUUAGAAUGAUUUGAAAGAGGAGUUAUGGUACCAAAGAGUUGGGAUGUAGAAAAAGAGAAAAAAAAACGCAGUGUAGAAAAGUCAAGUUGAAGCUAAGGGCCCCCUCAAAGGCCCUGACCGCCAGCCAGUCAAGAUGAUAACAUCUACUAAUGGAUGCUAGGAGGACUCAGAUGACAGCAUCUACUGAUGGAUGCUGCUAUGAUGAGGGUGAUGAAUGAAAACAUCUACUGAUGGAUGCUAUGUGAUUAAGUGUCUAUUGAUGGAUGCUACUGACGACAUCUACUGAUGGAUGCCAAUGAAGAUGAGAAAGAUCAAUAUUUACUAAUGGAUUCUGAUUAGAAAGAUUAGACAUCUACUGAUGGAUGCUGAUGAAGAUGAGAAAAAUUAUCAUCAACUGAUUGAUGCUGAUGAGAAGAAUUCGCAUCUACUGAUGGAUGUUGGAAGAUUCAGAUGAUAGCAUCUACUGAUGGAUUCUGAUGAGAAGGAUUCACAUCUACUAAUGGAUGCUGGAAGAUUCAGAUGAGUGCAUCUAUUGAUGGAUGAUAUGCUACUAGACAUCUACUAAUGGAUGUUACUGACAACAUCUACUGAUGGAUGCUACUAGAUCAUGAUUUAUUGUGCUUUAUUUUUAUGCUUAUUUAAAUUUUGUUUAUUUUGUUUUUAUUUUAGCUUGCUUAUGUACUUGGUUUAAUGAAUUUUGCUGCAAUGGUUUGGU
Molecule: long non-coding RNA, 3251 nt
Organism: Vigna angularis (adzuki bean)
Lineage: Eukaryota; Viridiplantae; Streptophyta; Magnoliopsida; Fabales; Fabaceae
Exons: 3
Source: RefSeq, a predicted model, not a curated record